UACCAUAUCAGACCACAUCAAUAACCAAUAAGUACUUGAAGUGAAAACUGGUGCACCUUCUCUUUCUUUGAUAGACGUUAAGAGUAUUGUUUAUCAUUACCUGCUUCCCCUUGCCAUCUGGACGCAUAAAAGCUUUGUCGCUUUGUAGUUGAGUAGGACUAUAUGACCUGCCUUGGAAGCGACAUCUGUCACCCCAGGCUGACACAGUGGAAAUCCCACUUGCAAUUCUCCAGCUGCCUUUCUCUUUCCCUACCAGGCAGGAAACUUCGUGUUGACGUGGUGGGGCCACCCAACUGAAGCGAACGCACUAUUGAUCAACACAGAAGUGUCACUCAGGCCUGCACUAGAAUCUGCAUGAAUGGACACAUCAACACUUUCCCUCGUGGAGUUUUGGGAGUCUUUCUUCUUGCACUGUACUCUGUUGGAAAUACUAAUGCAUCCACUAAUGCAUCUCCCAGGGGCACUGGCACUGAAGAAGAGGGGCAUGCCGAUUUCCAUGGAUCUCUGAUUUGUGGAUCAAUAGUUUUGAGCAGUGUAAGGAUCCUCACAGGGGUCUUACUGCCUUUCCACAAGGAUGGGGGCCAGUUGCGUGGCCUUAAAAGUGUCGCAGAUGGUGCAGAACUGGAAACCUACUGGUACUCAUUUAAGUGCCUUUUAGCUCAUUUCUGAGCAGGCCAUCAAAAAAGAAGUUAAGGCUGGACCCGGGGAAGCCAUCUAUGAGGUGGACACACCAGACCUUAAAUGAGCCUUGGUCAAUGCUCGGUGGUAAGAGAAUGUCACAAUAUAUUUUGUAUUGUUUGACUUUUGAGUCUUACCCCUUCUCCCUUCCUUUCUUCAACUACCCCCCUUCUUACUGGCAUUGUUUCUCUUUCUGUGACCUUUUCCUGCCUUCACCACAGAGCUAGUUGCUAUGGGAUGUUCGAGACCUCAUCCUUGAGAAGUUCACAAUUGACCUGGAGUUGGAGGAAUGAGACAUAGACCUGAGAGAAAUUAACUAAUUAUGAGACAAUACAUGCUUUGUACAAAUUGGAGGCAGGGGGCAGGUGAUGAGGUCUCUGUGGGCCUUCAUGGCAUUGGCUUCAGAUUUAUCUUUCUCCUUUCUGCUUCUUCACAUCUCCCCCCCAAACACAUGCCUUUAUUUUCUUCUCCAGCUCCAUGGCCUGUGCCUG
RNAcentral lists this long non-coding RNA (1169 nucleotides) under Felis catus (domestic cat). RNAcentral's name for it is "lncRNA (ENSFCAG00000044445.2)". The record is from RNAcentral. Lineage: Eukaryota; Metazoa; Chordata; Mammalia; Carnivora; Felidae.